UUUGUAACAAACAAAUACACACACACAAAAUAAUAAUAAUAAUUCAAUGGGCAAAAUGAGCUUAGUUUUACUACUACAUUUUUUUAAGUGUACUACACCUAAUGAGGGAAGUUAGGCAGAAUUCAAGAUUUUUAGAUCAUACAAACACUAGAUAUAUAGGGUAUAUUAGAGUUACUUUUUGAUAUGCUGUAAAAAAAGAUAACAUGAAUACCACAUAUUUUGGCACAUACAAAUGCAUAAUGCAUAGAAGUGCCCUAAGCAUUAAACUACUUAAAGUGUUACAUGCACAUCAAUAACACUUUUUAAGCACAACCCUGUAACCAUUUUCACUGAAAAUCUAAGAAAUCAGCUCAAUCUUUUUUGUUGUUGACAGAAAACUAGAAAACCCACAUGCCAAGCAUGCACUGGGUAAAGUUAAAUUCACUCCCCUUAAAUUCACAACCUGAAAAACUGUUGACCCUGCAGAAGCUAAAACACCUCCACUGCUUUUUUUUCUCUUCUAGGUCACUCAGCCUUUUAACUUCCUUUAAUACACAGAGUGGCGCUGCUGGCCUGUUUUGACUGAUCCGACAGAGAGAAGCACAGAAUGCCCUCGGCCUGCUGGUGGCAUUGCUGCUGCUGCUAAAAAGCCCAAAACAUCACGAGAGUGCAGAGCACACAGUGCCAGCUCCAUAUUCAGUUCUGUCAUUUUAGGUGAUGGCUAGCAAUCCUACUGGAUGUGCUGGCUCAAACUUUGGAUCACGUAGGCCUCCUUCAGUCCCAGCUGGACCCUUGUGAGGUCCUGCAUCAUUGUUUGAAAGGGGACCAUAGGAGGGGCGGGCCGGGCAGGUGAUCUUUCCCCCGGUCCAGCCACCAACAAGAGAGCUGACAGUCAAACAGGCACACCAGGAUGGGUGUACCUGCUAUAAUAGGCUGGCUUGCAUACUGGCUGUAGCUGGGGGCAUGAUGGGCAUAGGCACCGUAGCAGGGAGUUGAGGCAUCUACUGACACGCUGGGCUGGAGGGGCAACAGUUCCGCUAGACCCGAGACUGCCAGUGAGGAAGGGGUGAAAGGAGCCAGGGAAGCCUCAUGCGGCUCCUGCUUAACACACGCGGAGGAUGAAUGUGACUCUGCCAGGUGGAGAAAAACAACAAAAAAAGCCACACACACACAAUCAGACAAUGCACAAUCACUCGCACUCAGCAAAAAAAAAAAAAAAAAAAAAAUGAAGAAUGAUUCAUGACAGAUGGAAGUACUGAAUGGAUGCAGUAAAAGAAGAGGAAAAUGAAGUUUGGCUGACAGUGUUUGGUGUUGUUGUGAUGCUACAUUGCGUUUAGGAGGAAAAGAAGGAUUUAUGUGAAGUUCCGAGAGCCGUGGUGUUCUGACUCAGUUCCCCGGGUGUGUUCAAGAGUUUUAACAGAGCCUCCAGAGGCACACGCUCAGAAAACAACAUUUCUACACGCACAAGGGGAUUUGGUCAAGCUGUCAUUAGUACUCCCAGCAACUCUCAGUGAAACAUCGCCUCUCACAAAAAAACAUUAGGAUUGAUAUUUUAUUCCUUAUGGUGGCUUGGUGCCUGGAAUGCAUCUCUUUAAAUUCAGGAAUUGCAACAUAAAUUUAAAAUAGAUCAAAAAUAGAUACUUUUAAUCGUGGACAUUUUUGUUGAUGUAAACAUUGUAUAUAUGUAUAGAUGGAACAGUCACUGAUUUUAUCUUCAGUAGACCAGUCGAACCUCUUAAUUCAAUUUGCUCACAUUAAUAGAGGAAAACAUCAGAUUCCGAAUAUCACAGUUUCCCAUAAUUUGCAAUUUCAAAAAUCUAUAUUUUUGGGGGGAAUUCCAAGAAAAGUUUAAGGCCAGAUGGCCAGUUAUAUUUAUUUGAUAAAACAACAUUUUCCUUGAAUUUUUUCCUUCAUUGUGAUUCUUAAUUUUGGGCCCUGCUUACACUUACGAACAGAAUAGAUUAGAAGUGAAAAUAUAUUUUCAUAGUUGUAAACUAAUCAUAGAAAUCUAUCUUUCUAUCUUUGCAAACUUAUAAUUUGCUCCAUAACAUAAAGCUAUCAACUUUAGCUUUAUAUCUGAAUCUAAAUAAAGCUACAUUUUUAUACAAAUCUGAUUGGAAUUAUUUAUCCGUCAAAUGAGCUAAAAAUGAGCAAAUACAAGCAGGUUCA
Non-coding RNA from Pimephales promelas (fathead minnow), 2148 nucleotides. The record is from RefSeq and is a predicted model, not a curated record. NCBI's taxonomy places the organism in Eukaryota, Metazoa, Chordata, Actinopteri, Cypriniformes, Leuciscidae.